AUGGCAUUGCAAGAUGAACAGAGGGACAAUCAAAUUGCUAAGAUGUACCAAGACUUGUAUGAUCAGAAUGCGAAAGAUGAGCAGGUUGCAAGGGCUGCUGAAGUUGUAAAUGUCGGGGGGCCAAUUGAUGAUGUUAGUACGGAACUAAGCCAAGCAUGUGAGCAGGUUCCAUUCCCUACUCCAGUUGUAAAUGUUGGAGGGGCAGUUCAUAAUGUUAGUAGUGAAUCAAGCCCAGAAAGUGCUGGCCAGCAAGAGGGUGGUUCAGCUAAUUUGGAUGAAAGUAACAAUGGUCGGAGGUUGCAACUUGGCAGCUAG
Molecule: ribosomal RNA, 315 nt
Filed under: Triticum aestivum (bread wheat)
Lineage: Eukaryota; Viridiplantae; Streptophyta; Magnoliopsida; Poales; Poaceae
Description: partial small subunit ribosomal RNA
Source: RNAcentral